Molecule: ribosomal RNA, 372 nt
Filed under: uncultured eukaryote
Lineage: Eukaryota
Description: partial 18S ribosomal RNA
Rfam family: Eukaryotic small subunit ribosomal RNA
Source: RNAcentral
CAAUAGCGUAUAUUAAAGUUGUUGCAGUUCAAAAGCUCGUAGUUGGACUUGUGCAGGUUAAUGAUGUCCGUUUUUGGUACGUUUGUGAGCUUGCAUGCUUGGGUGGAACCUGUGUGGCAUUAGGUUGUCGUGCAGGGGAUGCUCAUCAUUUACUGUGAAAAAAUUAGAGUGUUCAAAGCAGGCUUACGCCAUUGAAUAUAUUAGCAUGGAAUAAUAAGAUAGGACCUUGGUACUAUUUUGUUGGUUUGCGCACCGAGGUAAUGAUUAACAGGGACAGUUGGGGGUAUUCGUAUUCCAUUGUCAGAGGUGAAAUUCUUGGAUUUUUGGAAGACGAACUACUGCGAAAGCAUUUACCAAGGAUGUUUUCAUUAA